GGGGGUGUCUUGGAUUCGACGGGGUGUAGGACGCUGCUCGGUGCAUGUCGAGGUCUAGUCACCUCGUUAAACAGCUAGAAAACAAAUAAACGCCAACAACGAGCGUUUCGCUCUCGCCGCCUAGUGCCGCGAGCGAUGCACCGGGUGGUCUCUGGCCCGGGCCGGGUAAAACCGGCAGCAUCGUCAUAUACAGAGUCUAGGUCAGCGCGGUGUCGCGACGCGCUGUCCGAAAUUUAGCGGCUGGCUCGGAACCGGCCCGUCCAUUGGCAGGGUUUCGGGUGAGACUCAAAUCAGCGGACUAAACAUGUAGAUCCGGCGGAAAAAUCAUUUCGGACGCGGGUUCAAUUCCCGCCACCUCCACCA
This 363-nucleotide transfer-messenger RNA is filed under the name Burkholderiales. Its description in RNAcentral is "Duodenibacillus sp003488465 Standard tmRNA". It matches the Rfam family "transfer-messenger RNA". From Rfam's summary of the family: Bacterial tmRNA, also known as 10Sa RNA or SsrA, is named for its dual tRNA and mRNA-like properties. Its role is to liberate the mRNA from a stalled ribosome. To accomplish this part of the tmRNA is used as a reading frame that ends in a translation stop signal. RNAcentral also lists the same sequence under 1 other name. Lineage: Bacteria; Pseudomonadati; Pseudomonadota; Betaproteobacteria. The record is from RNAcentral.